CACGUAGGGUGCGAGCGUUGUCCGGAAUUAUUGGGCGUAAAGAGCUCGUAGGCGGUGUGUCGCGUCGGCCGUGAAAACCUGCAGCUUAACUGUGGGCGUGCGGUCGAUACGGGCAUCACUGGAGUUCGGCAGGGGAGACUGGAAUUCCUGGUGUAGCGGUGAAAUGCGCAGAUAUCAGGAGGAACACCGAUGGCGAAGGCAGGUCUCUGGGCCACUACUGACGCUGAGAAGCGAAAGCGUGGGGAGCGAACAGG
This 254-nucleotide ribosomal RNA is filed under the name uncultured bacterium. RNAcentral describes it as "partial 16S ribosomal RNA". It matches the Rfam family "Bacterial small subunit ribosomal RNA", at positions 524 to 776 of the family's 1533-position model. The record is from RNAcentral.